Molecule: ribosomal RNA, 301 nt
Filed under: uncultured bacterium
Lineage: Bacteria
Description: bacterial SSU rRNA
Rfam family: Bacterial small subunit ribosomal RNA
Source: RNAcentral
UGCCANCAGCCGCGGUAAUACGUAGGGUACAAGCGUUGUCCGGAAUUAUUGGGCGUAAAGAGCUCGUAGGUGGUCUGUCACGUCUGCUGUGGAAACGCAAGGCUCAACCUUGCGCGUGCAGUGGGUACGGGCGGACUAGAGUGCAGUAGGGGAGUCUGGAAUUCCUGGUGUAGCGGUGAAAUGCGCARAUAUCAGGAGGAACACCGGUGGCGAAGGCGGGACUCUGGGCUGUAACURACGCUGAGGAGCGAAAGCAUGGGGAGCGAACAGGAUUAGAUMCCCUGGUAGUCCAAGGGCGAAA